RNAcentral lists this ribosomal RNA (252 nucleotides) under uncultured bacterium. RNAcentral describes it as "partial 16S ribosomal RNA". It matches the Rfam family "Bacterial small subunit ribosomal RNA", at positions 524 to 776 of the family's 1533-position model. The record is from RNAcentral.
UACAGAGGGGCAAGCGUUAUUCGGAAUUAUUGGGCGUAAAGGGUGCGUAGGCGGGUCUUUAAGUCAGGGGUGAAAUCCUGGAGCUCAACUCCAGAACUGCCUUUGAUACUGAGGAUCUUGAGUUCGGGAGAGGUGAGUGGAACUGCGAGUGUAGAGGUGAAAUUCGUAGAUAUUCGCAAGAACACCAGUGGCGAAGGCGGCUCACUGGCCCGAUACUGACGCUGAGGCACGAAAGCGUGGGGAGCAAACAGG